CUCAGGAUGAACGCUGGCGGCGUGCCUAAUACAUGCAAGUCGAGCGAACAGACGAGGAGCUUGCUCCUUUGACGUUAGCGGCGGACGGGUGAGUAACACGUGGGUAACCUACCUAUAAGACUGGGAUAACUUCGGGAAACCGGAGCUAAUACCGGAUAAUAUUUCGAACCGCAUGGUUCGAUAGUGAAAGAUGGCUCUGCUAUCACUUAUAGAUGGACCUGCGCCGUAUUAGCUAGUUGGUAAGGUAACGGCUUACCAAGGCAACGAUACGUAGCCGACCUGAGAGGGUGAUCGGCCACACUGGAACUGAGACACGGUCCAGACUCCUACGGGAGGCAGCAGUAGGGAAUCUUCCGCAAUGGGCGAAAGCCUGACGGAGCAACGCCGCGUGAGUGAUGAAGGUCUUCGGAUCGUAAAACUCUGUUAUUAGGGAAGAACAAACGUGUAAGUAACUGUGCACGUCUUGACGGUACCUAAUCAGAAAGCCACGGCUAACUACGUGCCAGCAGCCGCGGUAAUACGUAGGUGGCAAGCGUUAUCCGGAAUUAUUGGGCGUAAAGCGCGCGUAGGCGGUUUUUUAAGUCUGAUGUGAAAGCCCACGGCUCAACCGUGGAGGGUCAUUGGAAACUGGAAAACUUGAGUGCAGAAGAGGAAAGUGGAAUUCCAUGUGUAGCGGUGAAAUGCGCAGAGAUAUGGAGGAACACCAGUGGCGAAGGCGACUUUCNNGUCUGUAACNGACGC
Molecule: ribosomal RNA, 741 nt
Filed under: Staphylococcus hominis
Lineage: Bacteria; Bacillati; Bacillota; Bacilli; Caryophanales; Staphylococcaceae
Also listed under: 1 other name
Description: bacterial SSU rRNA
Rfam family: Bacterial small subunit ribosomal RNA
Source: RNAcentral